ACAGUGGUGGUUCAGUGGUAGAAUUCUUGUUUUGUAUAGGGGGGAUUCAGGUUCAAUUCCUAACCAAUGCA
This 71-nucleotide transfer RNA is filed under the name Loxodonta africana (African savanna elephant). It matches the Rfam family "tRNA". From Rfam's summary of the family: Transfer RNA (tRNA) molecules are approximately 80 nucleotides in length. Their secondary structure includes four short double-helical elements and three loops (D, anti-codon, and T loops). Lineage: Eukaryota; Metazoa; Chordata; Mammalia; Proboscidea; Elephantidae. The record is from Rfam by way of RNAcentral.